AUUACUCCUACGGGAGGCAGCAGUAGGGAAUCUUCCACAAUGGGCGAAAGCCUGAUGGAGCAAUACCGCGUGAGUGAAGAAGGUCUUCGGAUCGUAAAGCUCUGUUGUUAGAGAAGAACAAGAGGUGUAGUAACUGGCACCUCCUUGACGGUAUCUAACCAGAAAGUCACGGCUAACUACGUGCCAGCAGCCGCGGUAAUAAU
RNAcentral lists this ribosomal RNA (203 nucleotides) under uncultured bacterium. Its description in RNAcentral is "partial 16S ribosomal RNA". It matches the Rfam family "Bacterial small subunit ribosomal RNA", at positions 332 to 526 of the family's 1533-position model. The record is from RNAcentral.